Molecule: ribosomal RNA, 408 nt
Filed under: uncultured bacterium
Lineage: Bacteria
Description: partial 16S ribosomal RNA
Rfam family: Bacterial small subunit ribosomal RNA
Source: RNAcentral
GAUGAACGCUGGCGGCGUGCCUAAUACAUGCAAGUCGAGCGAAGCGGCGGAUGGGUGAAUAACGCGUGGGUAACCUGCUCUUAAGUCUGGGAUACCACUUGGAAACAGUUGCUUCUACCGGAUCCUAAAGGAUGGACUUGCGAUGCAUUAGCUAGUUGGUAAGGUAACGGCUUACCAAGGCGAUGAUGCAUAGCCGAGGUGAGAGACUGAUCGGCCACAUUGGGACUGAGACACGGCCCAAACUCCUACGGGAGGCAGCAGUAGGGAAUCUUCCACAAUGGACGAAAGUCUGAUAGAGCAACGCCGCGUGAGUGAAGAAGGUUUUCGGAUCGUAAAGCUCUGUUGUUGGUGAAGCGGUAAUCAACCAGAAAGUCACGGCUAACUACGUGCCAGCAGCCGCGGUAAUUC